This is a long non-coding RNA of Betta splendens (Siamese fighting fish), 354 nucleotides long. RefSeq lists it as uncharacterized. Lineage: Eukaryota; Metazoa; Chordata; Actinopteri; Anabantiformes; Osphronemidae. The transcript has 2 exons. The record is from RefSeq and is a predicted model, not a curated record.
CAGCCACACUGGCUUGUUUCUAACAGAAGCUGCGUCGGGGGGGAUGUGGGAGGAGUUAUUUUGCAGUGAAGCAAAAUACCAUGAACACGAUGAAGUUCACAAGAAAAGAAACUGAAACUGAGGCGAAGGAGCAUGUGUGGCACUGCAAACAAAAUCACCAGCCCUGGAAGCUGUACGUGGCGCUAUUGUUUUCCCCGUCCCGUGUGGCUCUGAUCUGUGGUGUGACUCCACGCUGCCUGAUUCACAGGAAGUCUCAAGAAAGACGCAACCAAAACAGGACAUGCUUUCUGUUACGGUUGAUUUGUCAAGCAUUUACGAUUGCAGUUAAAGUGAAACUUUGAGAAAUGCAUUUGU